This 341-nucleotide ribosomal RNA is filed under the name Escherichia coli 3-267-03_S4_C2. RNAcentral's name for it is "partial 16S ribosomal RNA". Lineage: Bacteria; Pseudomonadati; Pseudomonadota; Gammaproteobacteria; Enterobacterales; Enterobacteriaceae. The record is from RNAcentral.
CCCGCAGACGGUUGAACGGGAUUUUUUAACCCGACACCCUGACGCGGUUGUGUUCAGUGCAAAAAAACGCCAGUGGGGCAACCAGGAAGAUUUGGCGUGUGCGCAGUGGAUCUGGGGGCGAAUCGUGAGUCUUUACGAGCAGGCCGCCAGCGAUGAUGGCGAGAUUUCGCGACCGAAAGAACCCAACUGGACCGCAUGGGCCAACGACGUGCGCACAAUGCGGAUGCUGGAUGGCAGAACUCACAGACAAAUUUGUGAAAUGUUUGGUCGGGCGCAGCGGGAUCCAUUCUGGGUAAAAAAUAUCAUGAGUCCGUCAAAGCUUCGCGGAAAAUGGGAUGAAC